CACGUAGGGUGCGAGCGUUGUCCGGAAUUAUUGGGCGUAAAGAGCUCGUAGGCGGUGUGUCGCGUCGGCCGUGAAAACCUGCAGCUUAACUGUGGGCUUGCGGUCGAUACGGGCAUCACUGGAGUUCGGCAGGGGAGACUGGAAUUCCUGGUGUAGCGGUGAAAUGCGCAGAUAUCGGGAGGAACACCAGUAGCGAAGGCGACACGCUGGGCCGGUACUGACGCUGAGGAGCGAAAGCGUGGGGAGCAAACAGG
RNAcentral lists this ribosomal RNA (254 nucleotides) under uncultured bacterium. Its description in RNAcentral is "partial 16S ribosomal RNA". It matches the Rfam family "Bacterial small subunit ribosomal RNA", at positions 524 to 776 of the family's 1533-position model. The record is from RNAcentral.